GGACUAAGAAUAGGAGAGUGUGUCGGUGUGUUUGCUCUCGUGGUACGGUCGUCGUCGGUGCGGGCUCCUUUAGGUGUCGAGCGUCGGCAGCCUGCGGCGGUAGGCGCGCUUCCCGGCGGCGGGCGUGGAGGGUGGUGUCGUGCGGCGUUACCUCCGGCUGGCGGGUACCGUAGCGGGCUCGAGUGGAGGGUCAUCAGCAUGAGGAAACUUAAGCAGCCGUAGGCCGAUCUAGGCCUGCGGUCGCGGGGCAAGGAUGAAGGCGCGGAGCGAACCCAGCAGCCGGUGGAGCUGCUACACUAUGGCGAGCGCCCUAGGUUGCGGUGGCGACCGAUCGGUGAAGGAGGACCUCCUCUGCGGGGGUGUAGGCACGGAGGGGUGUACUCGUCGUCGUUGUUUGCGGAGCGAUACCCGCAGAGACCACCACGAAAAAGAACAUUAAAAAAAUUUCUUCAAACGGUCUAGACACGCACUUUUUGUUACCGCAACUUGAGACUAACUACAGGGCGCUUCCGACCCGCCGCGAACUACGCCACCGACGUCUUAUAGAGACCCGUUUUAUCAUCCGGUCUAGAUCCCCUUUUUUAACAUUAAGGUUCAAAAACCAACACAUAAAGAAGGAAAGCCAUUUUUAUUUUAAAUCAAUAGA
Molecule: ribosomal RNA, 646 nt
Filed under: Triticum aestivum (bread wheat)
Lineage: Eukaryota; Viridiplantae; Streptophyta; Magnoliopsida; Poales; Poaceae
Description: partial small subunit ribosomal RNA
Source: RNAcentral